CCAGACUCCUACGGGAGGCAGCAGUGAGGAAUAUUGGUCAAUGGCCGAGAGGCUGAACCAGCCAAGUCGCGUGAGGGAAGACGGCCCUACGGGUUGUAAACCUCUUUUGUCGGGGAGCAAAGCGAGUCACGUGUGACUCAUUGAGAGUACCCGAAGAAAAGGCAUCGGCUAACUCCGUGCCAGCAGCCGCGGUAAUACGGAGGAUGCGAGCGUUAUCCGGAUUUAUUGGGUUUAAAGGGUGCGCAGGCGGAGGUGCAAGUCAGCGGUCAAAUUGCGGGGCUCAACCCCGUACUGCCGUUGAAACUGGCGUUCUUGAGUGGGCGAGAAGUAUGCGGAAUGCGUGGUGUAGCGGUGAAAUGCAUAGAUAUCACGCAGAACUCCGAUUGCGAAGGCAGCGUACCGGCGCCCAACUGACGCUCAUGCACGAAAGCGUGGGUAUCGAACAGGAUUAGAUACCCUCGUA
Molecule: ribosomal RNA, 463 nt
Filed under: uncultured bacterium
Lineage: Bacteria
Description: bacterial SSU rRNA
Rfam family: Bacterial small subunit ribosomal RNA
Source: RNAcentral